GGCCCUACGGAGUGGUCAGGAACACUCGCCUCCCUGUCACGGAGGAGAACGCGGGUUCAAGUCCCGCUGGGGUCG
This 75-nucleotide transfer RNA is filed under the name Propionibacteriaceae bacterium. Its description in RNAcentral is "tRNA-Asp". It matches the Rfam family "tRNA". Rfam says of the family: Transfer RNA (tRNA) molecules are approximately 80 nucleotides in length. Their secondary structure includes four short double-helical elements and three loops (D, anti-codon, and T loops). Lineage: Bacteria; Bacillati; Actinomycetota; Actinomycetes; Propionibacteriales; Propionibacteriaceae. The record is from RNAcentral.